CCGAUCGACUGCAUGACACCGUCUCAACUUCUCGAAUCAUUUCACCAUCUCUAAUCCUUUUGGAGAGAAUUGAUUGAAACCCGAUUAUUUUCAUCACACAGUCCAGUCCCUUUUAUGUUCUACAAUUUUGGAGACCCAGUCGUACUGAAGAACAACUAAAUCUUCAACUCGAAGAGAAAGGGGAAACCUAAUUUGCCGUUGAUUGUUUUCUUACACGGCGGAUUCAAUUGUGGGUUUUAGAAAUCUACUUAUCUAUCUUAGUUAAUUGGUGAAUAUGUGAAGGAGAUCUAUAAAAACAGACGGACAAAGACACAGACAUCAUAAACGGCAGAUUAUAUGUGCAGUUGUGAAGAAUAGUAAUCAAACGGGAGGACAAAGGGAGAGACAGUACUGCAAAUGUAUCUUCGUGGAACCCUACAGCUUAGAUUGGAGAUGACAUUGUCCAACAUAUUUG
Non-coding RNA from Camelina sativa (false flax), 454 nucleotides. The record is from RefSeq and is a predicted model, not a curated record. NCBI's taxonomy places the organism in Eukaryota, Viridiplantae, Streptophyta, Magnoliopsida, Brassicales, Brassicaceae.